UACGUAGGGUGCGAGCGUUGUCCGGAAUUAUUGGGCGUAAAGAGCUCGUAGGCGGUGUGUCACGUCGGCCGUGAAAACCUGGGGCUUAACUCUGGGCGUGCGGUCGAUACGGGCAUGCUUGAGUUCGGUAGGGGAGAUCGGAAUUCCUGGUGUAGCGGUGAAAUGCGCAGAUAUCAGGAGGAACACCGGUGGCGAAGGCGGAUCUCUGGGCCGAUACUGACGCUGAGGAGCGAAAGCGUGGGGAGCGAACAGG
This 253-nucleotide ribosomal RNA is filed under the name uncultured bacterium. Its description in RNAcentral is "partial 16S ribosomal RNA". It matches the Rfam family "Bacterial small subunit ribosomal RNA", at positions 524 to 776 of the family's 1533-position model. The record is from RNAcentral.